RNAcentral lists this unclassified non-coding RNA (436 nucleotides) under Hevea brasiliensis (rubber tree). Lineage: Eukaryota; Viridiplantae; Streptophyta; Magnoliopsida; Malpighiales; Euphorbiaceae. The record is from RNAcentral.
GGGGAGGUUUAGAUUCGCUACCGUCAGCUGACCUCUUAACAGAAAGCUGUAGAAUAGCAUGUGACCUAGAUGAUUCCUCAUUGGCACCAGUGGUGCCAGUACUUCUAGUUGCAUUUCCUCUGUCAAUGAGCUCCUUAAUCAUCUCCACAUCAGAGACCCUGUAUUCUUGCAAUCCAACUAUACAUACUUGUUGUUUACCAUCCUCUCUCAUGCAAAGUUUCUUCCGUUCAUUAAGCAAGUCAUAGAGCUUUCCCCCAUAUAUCUCAAAAAAACUGAAAAACAAUUGAAAGCCCUGGUUCCGGUAUGUAUGAUGAAUGAGCCUCAAAAGAUCCCUAGAUGCCCUCAGAGGUAGUGGUUUCAUAGUAUACGUUUUGCCACUUCCUGUUUGUCCAUAUGCAAAGCAAGUAGCUUUUGUGCGUUGGAAAAUUAUUGGGAC